GACGAACGCUGGCGGCGUGCUUAACACAUGCAAGUCGAACGGUAACGCCAUGCUUUUGUGGGGUGCUCGAGUGGCGAACGGGCGAGUAACAAGUGAGUAACCUGCCCUUGACUUUGGGAUAACUUCAGGAAACUGGGGCUAAUAACGGAUCGGAGCUUCUGCUGCCUGGUGGGGGUUGGAAAGUUUCGGCGGGUGGGGAUGGACUCGCGGCUUAUCAGCUUGUUGGUGGGGUAGUGGCUUACCACGGCUUUGACGGGUAGCCGGCCUGAGAGGGUGACCGGCCACAUUGGGACUGAGAGACGGCCCAGACUCCUACGGGGGGCAGCAGUGGGGAAUAUGGCGCAAUGGGCGGAAGCCUAAGGCAGCAACGCCGCGGGCGUGAUGAAGGCUUUCGGGUGGGAAACCGCUUUCGCCUGUGACGAAGCGUGAGUGACGGUAAUGGGUAAAGAAGCACCGGCUAACUACGUG
RNAcentral lists this ribosomal RNA (468 nucleotides) under uncultured bacterium. RNAcentral describes it as "partial 16S ribosomal RNA". It matches the Rfam family "Bacterial small subunit ribosomal RNA", at positions 28 to 507 of the family's 1533-position model. The record is from RNAcentral.